This 883-nucleotide ribosomal RNA is filed under the name uncultured bacterium. RNAcentral describes it as "bacterial SSU rRNA". It matches the Rfam family "Bacterial small subunit ribosomal RNA", at positions 26 to 896 of the family's 1533-position model. The record is from RNAcentral.
AGAUUGAACGCUGGCGGCAGGCCUAACACAUGCAAGUCGAGCGGAAACAGAGAGUAACUUGUUACUCUGCUGUCGAGCGGCGGACGGGUGAGUAAUGCUUGGGAAACUGCCCAGUCGAGGGGGACAACCAUUGGAAACGAUGGCUAAUACCGCAUACGCCCUACGGGGGAAAGAAGGGGACUCUUCGGAGCCUUUCGCGAUUGGAUGUGCCCAAGUGGGAUUAGCUAGUUGGUGAGGUAAAGGCUCACCAAGGCAACGAUCCCUAGCUGGUUUGAGAGGAUGAUCAGCCACACUGGAACUGAGACACGGUCCAGACUCCUACGGGAGGCAGCAGUGGGGAAUAUUGCACAAUGGGCGCAAGCCUGAUGCAGCCAUGCCGCGUGUAUGAAGAAGGCCUUCGGGUUGUAAAGUACUUUCAGCGAGGAGGAAAGGUUAGUAGUUAAUAACUGCUAGCUGUGACGUUACUCGCAGAAGAAGGACCGGCUAACUCCGUGCCAGCAGCCGCGGUAAUACGGAGGGUCCGAGCGUUAAUCGGAAUUACUGGGCGUAAAGCGUACGCAGGCGGUUUGUUAAGCGAGAUGUGAAAGCCCCGGGCUCAACCUGGGAACUGCAUUUCGAACUGACAAACUAGAGUUUUGUAGAGGGUGGUAGAAUUUCAGGUGUAGCGGUGAAAUGCGUAGAGAUCUGAAGGAAUACCAGUGGCGAAGGCGGCCACCUGGACAAUAACUGACGCUCAUGUACGAAAGCGUGGGGAGCAAACGGGAUUAGAUACCCCGGUAGUCCACGCCGUAAACGAUGUCAACUAGCCGACUGAAGCCUUGAGCUUUGGGUGGCGCAGCUAACGCAUUAAGUUGACCGCCUGGGGAGUACGGCCGCAAGGUUA